CCAAUAGCGUAUAUUAAAGUUGUUGCAGUUAAAGAGCUCGUAGUUGAAUUUCGGGAUUGACACAUCGGUCGUGCCUUAAGGGGUAUGAACUGGUGUAGUCAAUUUCUCACCUUCUGGAGAACCGCGAUGCCCUUAAUUGGGUGUCGCGGGGAACCAGGACCUUUACUUUGAAAAAAUUAGAGUGUUUAAAGCAGGCAUUUUGCUUGAAUACAUUAGCAUGGAAUAAUAAAAUAGGACGGCAUGAUUCUAUUUUGUUGGUUUCUAGGAUCACCGUAAUGAUUAAUAGGGAUAGUUGGGGGCAUUAGUAUUCAAUUGUCAGAGGUGAAAUUCUUGGAUUUAUUGAAGACUAACUACUGCGAAAGCAUUUGCCAAGGAUGUUUUCAUUAAUCAAGAACGAAAGUUAGGGGAUCGAAGACGAUCAGAUACCGUCGUAGUCUUAACCGUAAACUAUGCCGACUAGGAAUCAGACGAUGUUAAUUUUUUAAUGACUCGUUUGGCACCUUACG
This 506-nucleotide ribosomal RNA is filed under the name uncultured Glomeromycotina. RNAcentral describes it as "partial small subunit ribosomal RNA". It matches the Rfam family "Eukaryotic small subunit ribosomal RNA", at positions 591 to 1092 of the family's 1831-position model. The record is from RNAcentral. Lineage: Eukaryota; Fungi; Glomeromycota.